RNAcentral lists this transfer RNA (580 nucleotides) under Stenomitos sp. WJT24-NPBG20. RNAcentral describes it as "16S-23S ribosomal RNA intergenic spacer". The stretch from base 274 to 346 matches the Rfam family "tRNA". The record is from RNAcentral. Lineage: Bacteria; Bacillati; Cyanobacteriota; Cyanophyceae; Leptolyngbyales; Leptolyngbyaceae.
UUAGGGAGACCUACCCGCAUUGAUGCUUGAACGCUAUGUGUCAUUAGAGCCAAUGUUGGUCAUCCCAAGGUCGUUCAAGGUUAAGUGUUGGCUUUCAAACUAGCUAGGUUUGGUUUAUGGGCUAUUAGCUCAGGUGGUUAGAGCGCACCCCUGAUAAGGGUGAGGUCCCUGGUUCGAGUCCAGGAUGGCCCACCUUUGAGAGCGGUCAGCCUGUGGUUGUAUCAGUUAAUCUUUAGGGAUAAAGCUGAUUAACUGAGUGUUGAUAGCUUUUCUGGGGGUUUAGCUCAGUUGGUAGAGCGCCUGCUUUGCAAGCAGGAUGUCAACGGUUCGAGUCCGUUAACCUCCACUGGGCAAUGAGUCUGAGUCUGAGACCUCGGGAUGUUAAUUUCAGCAACUCAUCUAGUGGUUUUGACUAGAGAGCCUGCUGGAUUUAGUUCCAGCCAGAACCUUGAAAACUGCAUAGUAACUUGUCAGGUAGAAAAGAUGAGUAGGUGUUUGUAGCUUUGUGAGCAGUGUUAGCACUGUUGACUGGUUACGGCAGGUUAUUUAUCGAAUCACAGACACCAAUGAGAUUGAUAGU